Molecule: ribosomal RNA, 307 nt
Filed under: Escherichia coli
Lineage: Bacteria; Pseudomonadati; Pseudomonadota; Gammaproteobacteria; Enterobacterales; Enterobacteriaceae
Description: partial 23S ribosomal RNA
Rfam family: Bacterial large subunit ribosomal RNA
Source: RNAcentral
CUGGAGGUAUCAGAAGUGCGAAUGCUGACAUAAGUAACGAUAAAGCGGGUGAAAAGCCCGCUCGCCGGAAGACCAAGGGUUCCUGUCCAACGUUAAUCGGGGCAGGGUGAGUCGACCCCUAAGGCGAGGCCGAAAGGCGUAGUCGAUGGGAAACAGGUUAAUAUUCCUGUACUUGGUGUUACUGCGAAGGGGGGACGGAGAAGGCUAUGUUGGCCGGGCGACGGUUGUCCCGGUUUAAGCGUGUAGGCUGGUUUUCCAGGCAAAUCCGGAAAAUCAAGGCUGAGGCGUGAUGACGAAGCACUACGGU